RNAcentral lists this ribosomal RNA (421 nucleotides) under uncultured bacterium. RNAcentral describes it as "bacterial SSU rRNA". It matches the Rfam family "Bacterial small subunit ribosomal RNA", at positions 355 to 773 of the family's 1533-position model. The record is from RNAcentral.
UAAGGAAUAUUGGUCAAUGGACGCAAGUCUGAACCAGCCAUGCCGCGUGGAGGAUGAAGGUCCUCUGGAUUGUAAACUUCUUUUAUCUGGGACGAAACACUUCUUUUCUAAGAGGCCUGACGGUACCAGAUGAAUAAGCACCGGCUAACUCCGUGCCAGCAGCCGCGGUAAUACGGAGGGUGCAGGCGUUAUCCGGAUUCACUGGGUUUAAAGGGUGCGUAGGUGGGUAUGUAAGUCAGUGGUGAAAUCCCCGAGCUUAACUUGGGAACUGCCAUUGAUACUAUAUAUCUUGAAUACCGUAGAGGUAAGCGGAAUAUGUCAUGUAGCGGUGAAAUGCUUAGAUAUGACAUGGAACACCAAUUGCGAAGGCAGCUUACUAUGCGGUGAUUGACACUGAGGCACGAAAGCGUGGGUAGCAAAC